CAAACUCUCUCUCUCUCUCGCACAGCAAAGCCGAGCGUUUUCCAUCUGAUAACGUCCGUCAUUGAGUCUCUGCGCAUGAUGUAAUUUCAUCAGGUUAAGAGAGGAAACUCACAGGACGGGGAUAAUGACUGUUCCUGUUAAUUGUGGUUUGGUGAAGACACAAGGCCUGUAGCUUCACUGUGAUCUACAGUACCAACAUCUCACUUCAGUCAUGAGUGAGCAGCAGGAAACUUUUGAAAGAUGUCAGGCUUUCCUACCAAAUUGGGACAAAGUGAUUGAAGAGGAGGGGUUGAAAAAG
Molecule: long non-coding RNA, 298 nt
Organism: Triplophysa dalaica
Lineage: Eukaryota; Metazoa; Chordata; Actinopteri; Cypriniformes; Nemacheilidae
Exons: 3
Source: RefSeq, a predicted model, not a curated record